GUCACAUCCUGUGAAUAUUGGUCAACUUCGUUGCAAGGUUCGGCAUGGACCUCUAUUUUACAACUGUAGCCUAACUCUGGGAUCAGAUGAAUGUGGUGAUGGGGAGGUUGUGGAGGUGCAUCUAUCCGAAAACGAUCAGGGUUUAGCAGCGGGACAAUUUGCAGCCUUCUACUAUGAUGAAAUUUGCUUGGGGUCAGGUGUGAUCUUGGACACUUGGGAUGAUAAGAGCUUCCCUGUUUGCACAAGAGCUCUUGAGAUUGCGCAGAUGGCAG
This 272-nucleotide unclassified non-coding RNA is filed under the name Hevea brasiliensis (rubber tree). Lineage: Eukaryota; Viridiplantae; Streptophyta; Magnoliopsida; Malpighiales; Euphorbiaceae. The record is from RNAcentral.